Molecule: ribosomal RNA, 301 nt
Filed under: uncultured bacterium
Lineage: Bacteria
Description: partial 16S ribosomal RNA
Rfam family: Bacterial small subunit ribosomal RNA
Source: RNAcentral
CAGUCGCCGCGGGAAUACAGAGGGUGCGAGCGUUAAUCGGAUUUACUGGGCGUAAAGCGUGCGUAGGCGGCUUCUUAAGUCGGAUGUGAAAUCCCUGAGCUUAACUUAGGAAUUGCAUUCGAUGCUGGGAAGCUAGAGUAUGGGAGAGGAUGGUAGAAUUCCAGGUGUAGCGGUGAAAUGCGUAGAGAUCUGGAGGAAUACCGAUGGCGAAGGCAGCCAUCUGGCCUAAUACUGACGCUGAGGUACGAAAGCAUGGGGAGCAAACAGGAUUAGAUACCCCCGUAGUCCCUGUCUCUUAUAC